CAAAUCCGAUCCAAAAAUAAAUCUCAUUAACGUCUAGCCCAUCCUCUCCCCAAUCUAAACACCAAUACUUCAACAUAGCUCGUCUUUGAUAAUGGAUCCUUUCGAUGUUGCAGAGGUGUCGAUUGGGAUACAUCUUGUUCUACUCAUAGCGAUUUUGUGUUUCAUGGUCAUCUCUUGUUUUAUGAGUAAACCAAUGUGUGUAGAGGAGCCAAGGCGUCCAGAAGAUCUUCCAGUUGUACCCAUCCGUCGGAGCCCACUUGGGACUCACCGUAGCCAACCCUGAUUAAUGUUAGUAAUAAAUGUAUGAGGUGAUGUUAUGACUUCUUUUUAUGGGUACUUAAUGAAAUUUGACUUUUUAUAAAUGGAAGACAUAUUUUGAAAAUUUCGUAUUUUGAAUAAUUGGAAAAUGGGUGUUUGGAUGGAAACUCGAUAAUUAUUGGAAUCAGUGCAUGAACCGAUUUUUACUUACCCUGCUUGGUUGCCGACAUAUGGCUCUUAAAAGUGAGGCCAUUUCCCCCUACUUUUUCUGCUUUCCCACAACCCUUCCCUUUUUCUUCUGCCGUAAAAGUUGUUUCCCCUUCCUCCACCUCAGUUCAGAUCUGCAUUUCGGUCUCCCCCAAGCUAUGAUAUCGACAUAGUACACAUAAGGACUUAUCGGGCUGCAGAUUGCUAUAGUCACUCUCAUCAUAUUUCAUUCAAUCAUUUCGUGUUUUGUGAGGCAAGUCCUCCGUCAUGAUGAGAUUCGGCAUCAAGAGAUCCUCGAAGAAGUCGAACCUAAGUGCGGCAAGAAAAAGUACUUUGGAGUUUUAGCUUUCAUUUUUCAGAUGGUGGAUGAUUUUCAUCUCUUACUUAUGCUCGUUGUCGAAAUCUCCUUCAUAACCAUGUUUCGUUUUCAUGUUUAUUUUCUUUUGGUUAAUUGGAGUUUCUACCGUGUUGUGUUUUGAUUUUGAGGACAAAAUCUUUUUAAGGAGGGGAGAGUUGUAACAUCCCGAUCAUGUUAACCUAAAUCUUCCUCUAAUUUAUUUCAUUAGAUAAGUGUUGAUGAUACUGCUUGAUAAUAUAAGAUUUAAUGGUAAAACUCACGAGAUUAAGGAAUAUCGUUUUAAUCGUCAAAGAAUAAAUCUUACCGAUUAAUUAGUAUAAAAUCCUACCUAGCCUAAUGGUUAUGAAGAUUCCUAUGUAAAUUGAACCAUGAAAUCAGAUGUGGUGAGAUGGUUAAUGUGUUUGUCCAACUCUUAGUUAAUCUGUGUUCUAGUCCCACCAAUAGAAAUAAAAUUAU
RNAcentral lists this long non-coding RNA (1279 nucleotides) under Linum usitatissimum (flax). Its description in RNAcentral is "long non-coding RNA (LUSI_LNC004921)". Lineage: Eukaryota; Viridiplantae; Streptophyta; Magnoliopsida; Malpighiales; Linaceae. The record is from RNAcentral.